AUUGAACGCUGGCGGCAGGCCUAACACAUGCAAGUCGAGCGGAUGAAGGGAGCUUGCUCCUGGAUUCAGCGGCGGACGGGUGAGUAAUGCCUAGGAAUCUGCCUGGUAGUGGGGGAUAACGUCCGGAAACGGGCGCUAAUACCGCAUACGUCCUGAGGGAGAAAGUGGGGGAUCUUCGGACCUCACGCUAUCAGAUGAGCCUAGGUCGGAUUAGCUAGUUGGUGGGGUAAAGGCCUACCAAGGCGACGAUCCGUAACUGGUCUGAGAGGAUGAUCAGUCACACUGGAACUCAGACACGGUCCAGACUCCUACGGGAGGCAGCAGUGGGGAAUAUUGGACAAAGGGCGAAAGCCUGAUCCAGCCAUGCCGCGUGUGUGAAGAAGGUCUUCGGAUUGUAAAGCACUUUAAGUUGGGAGGAAGGGCAGUAAGUUAAUACCUUGCUGUUUUGACGUUACCAACAGAAUAAGCACCGGCUAACUUCGUG
Molecule: ribosomal RNA, 484 nt
Filed under: uncultured bacterium
Lineage: Bacteria
Description: partial 16S ribosomal RNA
Rfam family: Bacterial small subunit ribosomal RNA
Source: RNAcentral